CCUACGGGUUGCAGCAGUGGGGAAUAUUGCACAAUGGGCGCAAGCCUGAUGCAGCCAUGCCGCGUGUAUGAAGAAGGCCUUCGGGUUGUAAGGUACUUUCAGCGGGGAGGAAGGCGAUAAGGUUAAUAACCUUGUCGAUUGACGUUACCCGCAGAAGAAGCACCGGCUAACUCCGUGCCAGCAGCCGCGGUAAUACGGAGGGUGCAAGCGUUAAUCGGAAUUACAGGGCGUAAAGCGCACGCAGGCGGUCUGUCAAGUCGGAUGUGAAAUCCCCGGGCUCAACCUGGGAACUGCAUUCGAAACUGGCAGGCUGGAGUCUUGUAGAGGGGGGUAGAAUUCCAGGUGUAGCGGUGAAAUGCGUAGAGAUCUGGAGGAAUACCGGUGGCGAAGGCGACCCCCUGGACAAAGACUGACGCUCAGGUGCGAAAGCGUGGGGGGCAAACAGGAUUAGAUACCCUAGUAGUC
Molecule: ribosomal RNA, 465 nt
Filed under: uncultured bacterium
Lineage: Bacteria
Description: bacterial SSU rRNA
Rfam family: Bacterial small subunit ribosomal RNA
Source: RNAcentral